GCAAUGUUAUGUUAUGCUAUGCAAUGUAUGAAAUGUUUUCAAGGACUUUUGGAAUUUAACUUUGCAUAAACUACCAAAAAAAGAAACUUUUUUUUUUUUUUUUUUUUACAAAAUAGAGCAAAGUUAAAUCCCUAAGUCCUCGAAAUGGUUAGUACAAUGCCAUGAUGUUAUGAUGUCAUGAUGUUAAGUAAAUAACAAGCACAAGCAAGUCACACAACAAUCAUUCCUAAGUUUUAAGGCUUGCAUGAGUUCCAUAGGUAAGUACCCUCCCCACUGAAGUUUGGUUGGUUCAACCUGUCCUAGAAUAGUAACCGGGUUCUAGAAGGAUCUCAAAUCAUCGACCUUUCUUUAAGUCCACUUCAGUGCAACACCAAGUGGUUGACCAAAGCUUCCCUAAAGUCCAAUCUCAAAGAGUGUAGUAUCGAGUCUCAAC
This 433-nucleotide long non-coding RNA is filed under the name Lathyrus oleraceus (garden pea). RNAcentral describes it as "Pisum sativum (pea) long non-coding RNA (PSAT_LNC021566)". Lineage: Eukaryota; Viridiplantae; Streptophyta; Magnoliopsida; Fabales; Fabaceae. The record is from RNAcentral.